AACAUAAAGCAUUACCAAAGCAGCAGGAGCAGAGGAUGAUAUAAAAAUCUGAAGAUGCCCGAUUGCCGUCUCAUUAUCAUCUUUGGGCGUUAGAGUAAAGAACUCAUCCAUCAAACUUUUGAUAUGUUUUGAGGCGUAAGCAUGGCAAGGCAAUCCUGCUUUACAAAGCCGAGAAAUAAACGAUACCAUGUCAUCAAUUAGCUGAAAAGUCUGCGGGUGCUUGGUACUUCGCAUCCGCCCCACCAAAUUAAGCCCUGCGUCGUUCUGAAUUGAACACUCUGCCAGUGACUGCUCCCACUGGAGUUGCUUUCCCCGAUAAAUUAGCCUCUGCUCGAUAACCGGAAUUCCCGUGAU
This 354-nucleotide unclassified non-coding RNA is filed under the name Hevea brasiliensis (rubber tree). The record is from RNAcentral. Lineage: Eukaryota; Viridiplantae; Streptophyta; Magnoliopsida; Malpighiales; Euphorbiaceae.